GAGAUCACAGAGGUGCUGCCUAGGGAGGGGUUAUUAAGACCUCAGCCUCUUCUUCUCUGUCUGCUUUCUGACCACCAUAAGUUUCCUGUGGCUGAUCAGUUUUUGGACGGCACGAAGACCAACUCAGAAAGACUCACUUGUGAAAGGAAGAGCAAAGAUGAACUUGGAGACAGAAAGAAAGGACAGCGCCAACACUUCACGGGGCCUCAGUCUGAGUUAAUUUAUUCAUCUGAGUUGAGUUAAGGCUCUCUCUAUGCAAGAUCUGGGUACCUGGAGCAAAAUAAAGAAGCAAAACU
This is a long non-coding RNA of Chinchilla lanigera (long-tailed chinchilla), 296 nucleotides long. RefSeq lists it as uncharacterized. The record is from RefSeq and is a predicted model, not a curated record. The transcript has 2 exons. NCBI's taxonomy places the organism in Eukaryota, Metazoa, Chordata, Mammalia, Rodentia, Chinchillidae.